Non-coding RNA from Paramormyrops kingsleyae, 1687 nucleotides. NCBI's taxonomy places the organism in Eukaryota, Metazoa, Chordata, Actinopteri, Osteoglossiformes, Mormyridae. The record is from RefSeq and is a predicted model, not a curated record.
GUUUUUUCCCCUUUAAUAAACAAUAUAGUUACAAUACAGCAACAAAGGAGGUGUCAUGCAAUACAUUAACAUUAACAAAGCAAGGGGGAAAAAAACACUGCCUGGGGCUCCGGUAACUGAGUGAAAUGACACUGGUUCUUAGCAACAUUGAGCAGGCACAAAGUCAGCAGAAAAAAAGCUUUUCUGAAAGAAAAGUUGAAAUAUGUCCUUCAUAAGACAUGUCCAGCACAAGAGCUUAUUGUGUGGGGUGGCUCCAUCUGCCUAACACGAGAAGACUUUUGGAGUUUGGGAUUAAAGCAGGACAUCGAAAGUAAUGGAAUGGAUGUCCACAUUGUGGAUUUGUAUACAGUUCCCACUUGGAAGAUGGUGCAUGAGAUCCAAUUACUGGUGAGUUCAAUACCGGUACCUCAGUACAUUGCAUAAAUGCAGCAAACUCGAAAACACAAAUUGGAAAUGUAGAGUUGUAUGGAUUUAUGGGUGUCCAAACCUUAUGUUUACAGGAGCACAUGGGCUCCAAAGAUGCCCUGAUAAUACCCGCAUGGAGUAGGCAGCAUGGUGAAGGGGACCACUACACGCCUUGUGUACAUUUUCAGUUAUUAGCAUUCUUUUACAUAGGGAUGGCCCAUAUGUUUGUUACUGCAUAUCAUAACGAUUACAGAAUGUUUUUUACAGGUACUUUUGAUAGCACAGAGAGGUGCUUUUCUUGGAGUCUCUGUGUCUGGAUGAUUUUGGUGAUGAGACCUACAGGAGCAUAUUUAGGUUCAUUCAGUCUAAAGAGUUUGUUGGCCUUAUUAUGGCUUAAGGCUGACGUGUAGACAUAUAAAAACAGUACGAAAUUGCGCACUUGCGCACUUUAAUGCGUGAUUUUAGGGCGUAGUGCGUUCACAAACUUCACACUGACAACUAAGCUAAAAUUCAGUGCACUGAAAGUACCCGGUUGGUGCACUGAAAACGGCCAGAAAACGCAGUGCAGAAUGAUGGACACUACUCGCACUAAAUGGACGCCAUUUUGACUACGUAACGGAAGGGGAGGGACUUUCGGCAAGUUUUUAUUGUUAAAUUAAGGCGGACAACACGUAAGCCCAGGCGGAGGCAACUGCUUCAUAUAAAUCUAAGUAACGUUAAUAAAAUUAUUUUACUGAUGUAUACUGCGGUGUGUAGCCUGUCACUCUCUGACGGCAGUUAUAGAUAAUUUGAGUUUGCAAUUAUAUCAACUUAGAAGAGUUCGCACACGUAAAUGUUAGCAGUUUUUUAGCCGGUCGUAGAUAGGUUAUAUUCUAUACACGCAAAUAAAGCCACAAGGAAAUUCAUUGUAAAGAAAACAUGGCAGAUAUUUUGGCGCACUGGAGAAUCGCGAUCAAAUGCUAGUGUGUCACUUCCGGUAAGUGCAAAACGUUAGUGUUCCAUUUAGGACAGCACUUUCCCAUGGUAGUGUGCACUACAGAAGGAAGUGCGCACUACGCACUACAUCUCAGUGCACUGGCGCAAGUGCGCGAUUUCGGACACACCCUCAGUGUCAAGUUGGGAAAAAGGGGAUAUUUGCACCUAACACCAACUACUUGUGUCAUUGAACAAUUACUGGAAGCUGGCUUAAAUGUACACGUUAUUCUAUUUGAUAUGACUAUGUACUAAUACGGUGUUUGACCCCCUUUCGCCUUCAGAACUGCCUUAAUUCUACGUGGCAUUG